GUAGGUGGCAAGCGUUGUCCGGAAUUAUUGGGCGUAAAGCGCGCGCAGGCGGUCCUUUAAGUCUGAUGUGAAAGCCCACGGCUCAACCGUGGAGGGUCAUUGGAAACUGGGGGACUUGAGUACAGAAGAGGAAAGCGGAAUUCCAAGUGUAGCGGUGAAAUGCGUAGAGAUUUGGAGGAACACCAGUGGCGAAGGCGGCUUUCUGGUCUGUAACUGACGCUGUGGCGCGAAAGCGUGGGGAGCAAACAGGAUUAGAUACCCUGGUAGUCCACGCCGUAAACGAUGAGUGCUAAGUGUUAGGGGGUUUCCCGCCCCCUUAGUGCUGCAGCUAACGCAUUAAGCACUCCGCCUGGGGAGUACGCCGCAAGGCUG
Molecule: ribosomal RNA, 372 nt
Filed under: uncultured organism
Description: partial 16S ribosomal RNA
Rfam family: Bacterial small subunit ribosomal RNA
Source: RNAcentral